ACAGGGUCUCAUUUUGUUGCCCAGGUUGGAGUUGGAGACCAGCCUGGGCAACAAAAUGAGACCCUUC
RNAcentral lists this microRNA precursor (67 nucleotides) under Gorilla gorilla gorilla (western lowland gorilla). Its description in RNAcentral is "mir-1285 microRNA precursor family". It matches the Rfam family "mir-1285 microRNA precursor family". RNAcentral also lists the same sequence under 1 other name. Lineage: Eukaryota; Metazoa; Chordata; Mammalia; Primates; Hominidae. The record is from Rfam by way of RNAcentral.